Non-coding RNA from Cricetulus griseus (Chinese hamster), 1772 nucleotides. NCBI's taxonomy places the organism in Eukaryota, Metazoa, Chordata, Mammalia, Rodentia, Cricetidae. The record is from RefSeq and is a predicted model, not a curated record.
AGUACAUUCCCCAUCAGUGACUUUUGUUUAUGUCUCAUUAGUUAGAAUCACAUCAUAUUUCUUUGAAUGACACAUUGACCAGUUGUUGUCACAGAGAAUGGAUCAUUCUGAUUGGCGUUCACUGGUUGUGAUUCAUCUCUUGCUACUUUGCCUUCCCUGAAAGAAUCACGAGGAGGGGUGCCGUGGAUGUGAGUCUUAGCAAGGAUAGAGGGAGUUAUGGCUGACAGGAGUGAUCAGAGGGAUGAACAAGCCACAGCCUCCUGGGCAGAAUUAACCCCUUUGGUGUCAUGGAAAUUAUCUUCCACAAAGGAGGAAACAUGUUACAUCAUAAAGUAGAAUGGCACCAUCCCAGAUCUGCAACCCAACACUUCAGCCAAGUACCAAACAGUUGCAGGUUAUACGCAGACAUCAAGGAAUACUCAAAAAACAAGACUCUCCAUCUGUUGUGCAUCCUGCAAGUCAUGCCCAGGGAUCUAGGGUUCUAGUUUUCAUGAGUUGUCAUCUACUCCGGGGUGAGCUUCCAGGGAUGCAGCUGUCUUCCAUGUUCCUGUAAGUCACAUAUUGUAGGAUAUUAUUUUAACUAGGCAAAGAUAUGUUGUUACCUUUGUUUAUGCUGCAUUUAUUUAAUUAUGUAAAGAUUUGUUGCAUUUGCUUCGCCUUGCCUAACUAAGGCAACUGAUUGGUCUAAUAAUUAGCUGAACAGCCAAAGCUAGGCAGUGAAAGAUUACACAGGGUUGGUGGGCAGAAGACAAUAAAUAGGAGGAAGAAUCUAGGUUCGAGAGAAGAAUGAGAAAAGAGAAUGGCAGAGAAAGAGAGGGACAGGCUUGGGGUUAGAAACCAGGCCACCAGCCAGCCAGAAAGGAGAAACAAUGAAAGUAAGAUAUACAGAAGAGAAAGGUAAAAAGUCCUGAGGCAAAACAGAGAUGAAGAGAAACACAUUAAAAUAAGAGCUAAGAUAAGGCCGAGCAUUCAUAACUAAUAAGAAGUGUUGGGUCAUGAUUUGGGAGCCAAUUGUGGCCUAAAAGAAAGCCUGCUACAGUAACAUCUCAUCCAUACUCCAGUAGGAAACUCCGGUAAACAUAGUUUUGUCAAGGGACUUUGGCAGUUUGUUGUAGAUUCUCUCUCUGGGUGAGUAGACUUACAUUCAUGUCUUUUCAGGAAUAGUGGCAUCCAAAACACCCGGUGUUUGUUCUUGGUCCGUGUUCCAUCCCUUGCCACCAUCUGCUUGCCUCUGCAUCAGUGUCCCCUUGGGUUGCAUCCUCUGACCUACCUUACUCUCUGGCUUCUGUAUCAGUUUGGGCAAUGGGAGACAUUGGUUAAAACAAGAUGGAUUGAGAGGGAAGUCCAGGCAUUUGCUCCUCCUUCUCAGUCCCUGCUUUGACUGUGUGCUGGGUUGGCUUCUCAUAUGGCUUUUAUGUUCUCUGGUUUCUGAGCAUGGCUUGGACCUACUGACUCUCUUCUGACAAAUGGAAGAUAACAAGAAGGUUUAGUUUGCACAAUGCUGUGGAUUUGUGUUGUUUAAAUAACACAUUGGAUGUGUUAUUUUGCUUGGUUGGUUAAGGUGAGCUGCUAUGGUAUAAGUAGACACCUUGGCAAAGAACAGAGGAUAUCCGCAGACUGUUCCAGGAAGGCCAGGAGUAUUUCAGUUUAAGUCUUUGAGGGACUGACUCUGCAAACAAUCGCACGAUUAAAUUUGAGCAUGGAAUGUUCUCUACCCCAGUUCUCCUUUGACUGCAGCGUUGUCAGAGACUGUGAGUCAGAGGACAGCUAAG